This is a long non-coding RNA of Lolium rigidum, 1257 nucleotides long. RefSeq lists it as uncharacterized. NCBI's taxonomy places the organism in Eukaryota, Viridiplantae, Streptophyta, Magnoliopsida, Poales, Poaceae. The transcript has 9 exons. The record is from RefSeq and is a predicted model, not a curated record.
UCUCAGAAGGUGGAUCUGCCCAGCCAUGGACGUGAGCAGAGAAAACCAUAGCCAGCUCUUCCUCUCUGCCUCUCCGCUCAGGAUGCUAGAUUUUUUUUUACUAAUAGUCUCUUGCAACUUGUGUGAAUUUGGCAUUGGGCUGUUUCGACCUCCUGUUGGGUGAUGCCGCACUCACGCUCGAGAACCUCGGGUUCUUUAAUGUUAUGAUUGGCACGGUUGUCUGGAUUUGUAAGUGGUGAACAAGAGAAAAGUUACUAUCUCACUUGAAGACAAUGGAUUACUGAUGGUGUAUAUAUGUAAAAUUACUUACUGGUGGUCUUACUUUCAGAUCGCAAGUUUGUCAGAAUCAGACUGGAAAAGAAUUGCUUGGACAUUCUUGGGUAUUGUGGUCCUGUGAUUUUUUAAUAUGCUCAGACACUGUGAGUAGCUAAAUGGUUCCUUGCCUUCUGUUAAAAUAGUGUUGUUUCUGUGGAGCACGUAAAAGAGGAGUCCUAUUUUUGGUUCAGGUUUCUUGCCAAUAAUUAUCCUUUUGGCUGCAUUGUGUUCUUCCGGCAACUAUGUUAAUUGCUCUGAGGUUAAACUCUCUCAUUAUCUACCACGCCUUUCUAAACAUGUGUUGUUGCUAGCUUCAGGUUAAACUCUCAUUAUCUACCACGCCUUUCUAAACAUGUGUUGUUGCUAGCUUCAGGUAAAUCUUCUCCCGGUUAUGCAUGUUUACUAUUUGUCACUUCACAGGGUUCUGAUUCGUGCGUAACAAUUUUUUCUUUGUUGUAAAUAUACACAAGUGGGAUUUCUUAUGUUCUGUAUAUGUACGGAGGCUUCGUAUGUCUUCUUACUCAGGUGUGGUUCUGGUCAGGUCCUGUUAUUGAAGUUAUUGCUGGACGUUAGUCUUCAUAUGGUCUGGAGACCUUUAUAUCAAGAAUUUACCUCAGUUGCCAAUUAGGCUCUUCACUAGGAAGACAGGCUGUGAAAAUGGAAGGAGUUCCUUGACAUAGAAUGGAGCAGCACUCUGCACUCGUGCCUAGAAUUACUGAUAUUUGUAUAUAUGUAACUAGGCUGCCAACUUUGAUUUCUAUCCUAUGUUGUAUGACGUAUAUUGCUACCGGUGACUUCAUGAUUACCCUGAUGUACAAAAAAUGUACCAGUUCUAUCAUCUGUUCUAUAAUGGUGAGCAAUGAGUCGGAACUCUACAAGGUGUUCCAUGUAGUUAUACAUUUCUUAACUCUACAUGUACUCCUAACAGUAAGGUUUUACCCA